Molecule: ribosomal RNA, 381 nt
Filed under: uncultured eukaryote
Lineage: Eukaryota
Description: partial 18S ribosomal RNA
Rfam family: Eukaryotic small subunit ribosomal RNA
Source: RNAcentral
CAACAGCGUAUAUUAAAGUUGUUGCGGUAAAAAAGCUCGUAGUUGGAUUUCUACCGAAGAUAGCCGGUCGGGUCUUCGACCUUGUAUCUGGUUUUGUCUUUGGUAUCCUCAUAGGGAACGUUUCUGCGCUUUAUUGCGUGGUGCGGUAUCUAUGACUUUUACUUUGAGGAAAUUAGAGUGUUCACGGCAGGCAAACGCCUUGAAUAUAUUAGCAUGGAAUAAUAACAUAGGAUCUUCGUCCUAUUUUGUUGGUUUCUAGGGCUAAGAUAAUGAUUAAUAGGGAUAAUUGGGGGCAUCUGUAUCAACGCGUCAGAGGUGGAAUUCUUGGAUUGCGUUGCGACAAACUACUGCGAAAGCGUUUGCCAAGGAUGUUUUCAUUGA